This 165-nucleotide ribosomal RNA is filed under the name Uraria crinita. RNAcentral's name for it is "5.8S ribosomal RNA". It matches the Rfam family "5.8S ribosomal RNA". Rfam says of the family: 5.8S ribosomal RNA (5.8S rRNA) is a component of the large subunit of the eukaryotic ribosome. It is transcribed by RNA polymerase I as part of the 45S precursor that also contains 18S and 28S rRNA. The record is from RNAcentral. Lineage: Eukaryota; Viridiplantae; Streptophyta; Magnoliopsida; Fabales; Fabaceae.
AAGAAAUGACUCUCGGCAAUGGAUAUCUCGGCUCUUGCAUCGAUGAAGAACGUAGCGAAAUGCGAUACUUGGUGUGAAUUGCAGAAUCCCGUGAACCAUCGAGUCUUUGAACGCAAGUUGCGCCCGAAGCCAUUAGGCCGAGGGCAUGCCUGCCUGGGUGUCACA